GACGAACGCUGGCGGCGUGCCUAAUACAUGCAAGUAGAACGCACAGUUUAUACCGUAGCUUGCUACACCAUAGACUGUGAGUUGCGAACGGGUGAGUAACGCGUAGGUAACCUGCCUGGUAGCGGGGGAUAACUAUUGGAAACGAUAGCUAAUACCGCAUAAUAUUAAUUAUUGCAUGAUAAUUAAUUGAAAGGUGCAAUUGCACCACUACCAGAUGGACCUGCGUUGUAUUAGCUAGUAGGUGAGGUAACGGCUCACCUAGGCGACGAUACAUAGCCGACCUGAGAGGGUGAUCGGCCAAACUGGGACUGAGACACGGCCCAGAAUCCUACGGGAGGCAGCAGUAGGGAAUCUUCGGCAAUGGACGAAAGUCUGACCGAGCAACGCCGCGUGAGUGAAGAAGGUUUUCGGAUCGUAAAGCUCUGUUGUAAGAGAAGAACGGGUGUGAGAGUGGAAAGUUCACACUGUGACGGUAUCUGACCAGAAAGGGACGGCUAACUACGUG
Molecule: ribosomal RNA, 505 nt
Filed under: uncultured bacterium
Lineage: Bacteria
Description: partial 16S ribosomal RNA
Rfam family: Bacterial small subunit ribosomal RNA
Source: RNAcentral